AGAGAGUUCAGACGGACAGGCGGGUGUGUGGACCAAAUAAAAUCGUGGAAUCCACGCGGGAAAACACUCGGUGCUGUUGACCACCUCUUCCCCUCCCACCAUUGGGGGAAGAAGCUCUGCCGAGCAAGGGAGGUAAAGAGAGAAUGGAAAGGAUGAAGAAGCUCUGCUUAAGCUUCGCUGAUCUGGUGUUCAGCAUGCGGAUUUUUUGGCUUGGGGUGAAGAGCAGGAUUUCCUUCUCGGCCAGUCAGUCGCCAGUCAGCUGGCUUCAGUAGAGUACUCGAGGUGAAAUUUAUAUAAAAUGGAUGGAUGCAAGCAGAAUUGCCCGGACCCGGAAGGAAUUUCACCAACCGAGUUCACAGCUUCAGCUAUUUGUCUGGAGCUGGAAUCGCCGAAUCUGUCUUCUUCAGAUGAAAAUUUUGCAGGAUAUCAUCGUUGGAGGAGUAUGAUGAUAGUUGUUUUCAGGAUGAUGUUGACUUAAAUAAUAUUGCUAUGGUGUUUGAUCGUAUGGAAGAGGGUAUCAGUAAGCGGCCAAAUCAUGAAGGUGGAAAGUCAUGACAUAUGUGGAUCCACAAGAAUAUGGUGGCCGAUCAAAACUGUCUUGUAUGUGAAUACUUUGAAAAGGCUCAAUCGUAACCUCCUUCUUCGCUCGUCAGGAAAUGGAUCAAGAUGUGCAUGGAGCUCCUUGUGCGCAAUGAUGAUUACUUUAAACGAAAAUGAAAUGCAUCUGGAGAACUUGGUUUCUAUGCUCGAUAAAAGAUCAUGACUAAAAUGGACAUCAGGGCAUAUGGUGUAGCUAGAUAUUUGGAGAAGUUAAUUCGAAUUCGGGAAAGCACCAACAUCAAGACUAUGAAGAAAUUUGUAGAAACAUUGAUCAAGGUCGUCGGAACUGAGUAUCCAAGAGCACCAAAUCUAGUGGAUAUCGUAAGACUUUUGGAAAUGGCCGAAACAAGAGGGUUCAUGGGGAUUCUUGGGUGUAUUGACUACAUGCCCUAGAGGUCAAAGAAUUGGUCUGCAAGAUAAAAUGAAAAUUUCAUUAUCAAACAAUUUAAAUUGUUGGGUCUCCGGAUCUAAGGAUUUGGCACUUCUAUCUUGGGAUACCUGGCUCUCACAUUGACAGCAAUAUAUUGCAACUCUCUCCUCUGAUUGCAAGGAUAGCUGCUGGGGAACCUCCACCAUGCAACUUAAGGACAAUGUCCAUGACUACUAUAUGGGUUACUAUCUUGCAGAUGACAUAUAUCCAACAUUGUCAACAUUUGUCAAGACAAUCUAAGAAUCCAAGGUAGGAAGGGAAUCCUUUUAUAAAAGGAUCAAGGAAACAUUAAAAGGACAAUAAAUAAUGGUUGUGUCUUGGAAGCUCAGUUUGCAAUCGCGCGUGGACCUACUUGCUUCUAGUACCAGAAGACCUUGAGAAACAUUGUUGUGUACUUCUCGAUAAAUUGAUCAUAGAGGAUAAGAGGUUCCAAGAGGUAGAUUACGAGUGCAAUGGUUUCGGAACUACUAUUAUCAUGACUAAGGACAAUAGAUCGACUCACUUAUUGAAGUCCACACAAAUAGAGGACAUGGUGUCACAUGAAAAACUUUGUGAUGACAUCAUAGGCUGAAAAAGGCAACUACAUAGGGGAGUAGAUACUUGAUUUGAUUCAUUUAGGCCAUAUACUUGUGUAUGGAUGAUUCUUUACUUUUCAUCAUCUUUGCUUUUGGACGAUGUUCGAGUAUGAUUUUUUUAAUAUAUAACAUUUUCAUACUAUGUAA
Molecule: non-coding RNA, 1752 nt
Organism: Lolium perenne
Lineage: Eukaryota; Viridiplantae; Streptophyta; Magnoliopsida; Poales; Poaceae
Source: RefSeq, a predicted model, not a curated record